This 73-nucleotide transfer RNA is filed under the name Stegodyphus mimosarum. It matches the Rfam family "tRNA". From Rfam's summary of the family: Transfer RNA (tRNA) molecules are approximately 80 nucleotides in length. Lineage: Eukaryota; Metazoa; Arthropoda; Arachnida; Araneae; Eresidae. The record is from Rfam by way of RNAcentral.
GCCUUCGUGGUGCAAUGGUCAGCACACUCGGAGUGUGUUCGAGAAGUCCAGGGUUCGAGUCCCGGCGAGGGCA